RNAcentral lists this ribosomal RNA (342 nucleotides) under Triticum aestivum (bread wheat). RNAcentral describes it as "partial small subunit ribosomal RNA". The record is from RNAcentral. Lineage: Eukaryota; Viridiplantae; Streptophyta; Magnoliopsida; Poales; Poaceae.
AUGGGAAGAUUCAUCCAUCCAGGAACUUACUUGUGUGGAAGUGUGCUGCUGCUGCAAGUUCCUGACUGUGCACAGUACUUCAUGGAGAAUCUGGACCUAUUAGCUGAAGCAGAUUACAUACCAACAAAGGUGUUAUUAACCACUCAUUUUCUUCAGCAUGAACAUCAUCUUGGUCGGCUAUUAACCAAGAAUGUGUUUGAUCCACACCAUAAGCGUAUUUCCAUCCAAAGAGGAAUUUAUUUGAACCGAGAAAGAGGGCACAGCAUUGAUCCAAUUCACAUCGAUGAUCCUCUUUUCCCUGCUAACAUUGUGGGCCGGAAUUGUUUCCGGGUCCACCACUGA